RNAcentral lists this transfer RNA (75 nucleotides) under Aquabacterium sp. CECT 9606. Its description in RNAcentral is "tRNA-Arg". It matches the Rfam family "tRNA". From Rfam's summary of the family: Transfer RNA (tRNA) molecules are approximately 80 nucleotides in length. Their secondary structure includes four short double-helical elements and three loops (D, anti-codon, and T loops). Lineage: Bacteria; Pseudomonadati; Pseudomonadota; Betaproteobacteria; Burkholderiales; Sphaerotilaceae. The record is from RNAcentral.
CCCUCCGUAGUACAACGGAUAGUACGGGCCCCUCCUAAGGGUCAGAUCCAUGUUCGAUUCAUGGCGGGGGGACCA